Molecule: ribosomal RNA, 498 nt
Filed under: uncultured bacterium
Lineage: Bacteria
Description: bacterial SSU rRNA
Rfam family: Bacterial small subunit ribosomal RNA
Source: RNAcentral
GAUCAUGGCUCAGAUUGAACGCUGGCGGCAGGCCUAACACAUGCAAGUCGAACGGUACAGGAAGAAGCUUGCUUCUUUGCUGACGAGUGGCGGACGGGUGAGUAAUGUCUGGGAAACUGCCUGAUGGAGGGGAUAACUACUGGAAACGGUAGCUAAUACCGCAUAACGUCGCAAGACCAAAGAGGGGACCUUCGGGCCUCUUGCCAUCGGAUGUCGCCCAGAGUGGGAUUAGCUAGUAGGUGGGUAACGGCUCACCUAGGCGACGAUCCCUAGCUGGUCUGAGAGGAUGACCAGCCACACUGGAACUGAGACACGGUCCAGACUCCUACGGGAGGCAGCAGUGGGAAUAUUGCACAAUGGGCGCAAGCCUGAUGCAGCCAUGCCGCGUGUAUGAAGAAGGCCUCGGUUGUAAAGUACUUUCAGCGGGGAGGAAGGGAGUAAAGUUAAUACCUUUGCUCAUUGACGUUACCCGCAGAAGAAGCACCGGCUAACUCCGUG